CCUUAGCUCAGUUGGUUAGAGCGGUCGGCUCAUAACCGAUUGGUCGCAGGUUCGAGUCCUGCAGGGCC
RNAcentral lists this transfer RNA (68 nucleotides) under Gorillibacterium timonense. It matches the Rfam family "tRNA", at positions 5 to 66 of the family's 71-position model. From Rfam's summary of the family: Transfer RNA (tRNA) molecules are approximately 80 nucleotides in length. Their secondary structure includes four short double-helical elements and three loops (D, anti-codon, and T loops). Lineage: Bacteria; Bacillati; Bacillota; Bacilli; Caryophanales; Paenibacillaceae. The record is from RNAcentral.